This 429-nucleotide ribosomal RNA is filed under the name uncultured archaeon. Its description in RNAcentral is "bacterial SSU rRNA". It matches the Rfam family "Archaeal small subunit ribosomal RNA", at positions 474 to 903 of the family's 1478-position model. The record is from RNAcentral.
UACCUGCAGCUCUAGUGGUGUCCGCUAUUAUUGGGCCUAAAACGUCCGUAGCCGGCUUAUUAAAUGCCUGGGUAAAUCGUACGGCUUAACCGUACGAAUUCCGGGUAGACUGAUAAGCUUGGGACCGGGAGAAGCUAGAGGUACUCCUGGGGUAGAGGUGAAAUUUUGUAAUCCUAGGGGGACCACCAGUGGCGAAGGCGUCUAGCUAGAACGGGUUUGACGGUGAGGGACGAAGCCCUGGGGAGCAAACGGGAUUAGAUACCCCGGUAGUCCAGGGUGUAAACGCUGCUUGCUUGAUGUUAGUCGGGCUCCGAGCCUGAUUAGUGUCGGAGAGAAGUUGUUAAGCAAGCUGCCUGGGAAGUACGGCCGCAAGACUGAAACUUAGAGGAAUUGGCGGGGGAGCACUGCAACGGGUGGAGCGUGCGGUUU